Molecule: transfer RNA, 85 nt
Filed under: Caldifarciminota bacterium
Lineage: Bacteria; Pseudomonadati; Caldifarciminota
Description: candidate division WOR-3 bacterium (hot springs metagenome) tRNA-Leu
Rfam family: tRNA
About the family: Transfer RNA (tRNA) molecules are approximately 80 nucleotides in length. Their secondary structure includes four short double-helical elements and three loops (D, anti-codon, and T loops).
Source: RNAcentral
GCCGAGGUGGCGGAACUGGCAGACGCGCUGCCCUCAGGAGGCAGUGGGUGUUCGGCCCGUGCGGGUUCAAAUCCCGCCCUCGGCA